UUUAGUAUUUUAGGGUUUGUAAGAAUCCAAGAAAAUUAAUGAAAAUAAUUUAAGUAAGCUCUGCUUAUUGAGGUGGAUGAUCUCCAAUCAACGGAUCAACUGGUUACCACGGUUUGUGUUAAUAUUAGGGUCUUGUGUGAUUAGUAUCAGGAUCCUAUCAAGCUCCACCAUCAAAACAAGUUCACCACCAAGCUACACCACCAUUAUCAAUUUACUUCAGGUAUUUUCUUUGAUUGAUUCCAUUUAUUUCCGUAUUCAGGAGGAAUCAUAGGGAUAGGAGAAGGUGGACGAGAUCGAGUUGGUCUGUUACACACUCUAGCAACACUGCUUGAGUCCACGGGAAGUGUUCUCAUUCAUGCACUGCUAGGAGUGAUAAUCUUACCUCUUGAAGACCAAAAGUAAGCGAUCCUGUCGGGGGUUAUCCAAAAUUGAAAGGUAAAACGGUUUAAAGAUGGUAGUAACUCUUCUAUCCAAGUGAGUACGCACUUUCCUCUAGGUUACCCCCUUCAAGCCUUUAUGAUUGGAUGUUAGCCGGACCACCUGAAUGAGUAUUUGUGUACCAUAUUUUUAAAUAUUGGCUUGCUUUGUGUAACAGUUUUUGACCCAUAGGUCGGAAUGACGCCAAUAUGAUAAUAGAUUUUAAUGUUUUACAGAUAAACCCUUGGAUGAAGUUCUUUUUACUUAUGAGGUUACUUGAAAUGAAAUGAAGAACUGUAUAGCUUUUAGGGUUCUUUCAUGGUAAACGUGGUGAACAAAAGUGAGAUAGUAAGUGCCAAUCCUUGAAGAUAUUACUAACUUCUUUCAUUUUCAGAUUACAGACUGAUUCUUGCAGUGGCAACAUUUUUUCCCCUUUUGAUCGAAAACAGUUAUGGUGAAAGCGAAGGUGACAAGGGUGAUGACGAUGAAUAAAUAUACUUACUCAAGAUACGGUGAUCUGGAUGAAUAAAGGCGAAGAUUGGACACCAGUCCUCAAGAAAUGGCGUUUCCUACAGGAUGUUAACUAUUUUAUACUUACUCUGAAAGUAGAUUUUGGUUCAGUCUGUAUAUCCAAUAAUCCCAAGUACCCAAGAGAAUGUAGAAACAAACGUCUUCUGAUGAUUACAUGAACAUAGUUCAAAUGAUGCCUUCUUUUAUGUUCAAAAAUGUGGUCUAUCCCUUGGAUUAAAGGGAUCAAGCUAAAUUGGUUACAUCAACGGUGCUUUGUAGUUCACUUUUUCAAAUCUUACUGAUCUGGAUGACAUCAUUUUGAAUAGUUCU
Papaver somniferum (opium poppy) is the source of this 1257-nucleotide long non-coding RNA. RefSeq lists it as uncharacterized. The transcript has 3 exons. The record is from RefSeq and is a predicted model, not a curated record. NCBI's taxonomy places the organism in Eukaryota, Viridiplantae, Streptophyta, Magnoliopsida, Ranunculales, Papaveraceae.